GAUGUGAUGCAAGCUUGUUUGCUGCUGCUCCAGACACUAGGACAUGGAUCAGUGGAUUCCAACUACAAGUAAAAAGAUUUCACUUCAACAUUAAGAAGAACUUCCUGAUGGUUCUCACAGAACUUAGAAAAGAUGAAUGCUUGAAUCCAUCAAAUUUCAUCUCAUGAAGAUGAUAUUCUGCUUCCACUGUUCUUAUGAUUUCCAUUUUGAUGCCAGAAUGUGGUGGUCAGUGCUUUUUCAACAUGCAGGGUUGCUGGUAAG
Sceloporus undulatus (fence lizard) is the source of this 261-nucleotide long non-coding RNA. RefSeq lists it as uncharacterized. The transcript has 3 exons. The record is from RefSeq and is a predicted model, not a curated record. NCBI's taxonomy places the organism in Eukaryota, Metazoa, Chordata, Lepidosauria, Squamata, Phrynosomatidae.